Molecule: RNA transcript, 3064 nt
Organism: Colius striatus (speckled mousebird)
Lineage: Eukaryota; Metazoa; Chordata; Aves; Coliiformes; Coliidae
Gene: PBLD
Gene name: phenazine biosynthesis like protein domain containing
Exons: 10
Source: RefSeq, a predicted model, not a curated record
UACUGGCGUUUGCAGCUAUGUGGCAGACCCGCGGCUGGCCGGAGCCCGCGGGAAGCUCGCACGGCUCCUGCCUUCGUGAAUGCCUCAGCGCGGGACAGGCCGGCCGGGCGCUGUGGUGGAAGGGCACGUUAGAGUGUUUUGGGGCUAGCAGCAAGCGGUGCAUGAGGGAGAUCAAAGUCCUUUUUUAAAGAUGGCCAAUCGGUGCCGAGCGCUGGGGGUGCGGAAGGAGGCUGGAGGCCGUGGGCUCCUCGGAAGUGACGGAGAGGAGCUGCCUCCUCCCCUCGUUAGGGAAACAGUAAUCUCCAGUUCUGCUGUCCUGCGGGGAUAAAGCAGGUUAAAAAGUACCUUGCAGAAAACAGCCCAGGACUAACGGGGCGCAAACGACAAUGCAAAUUCCAGUUUUUAUGGUUGAUACAUUUGUAAAUCGGCCAUUUUCUGGAAAUCCUGCGGCGGUUUGUCUGCUUGAAAAUGACUUGGAUGAAAAUUUGCAUCAAAAAAUCGCAACAGAAAUGAACCUUUCAGAAACUGCUUUCAUCAGAAAACUGCACCCUGGAGAUGACUUUACCAAAAGUUCCCGCUUUGGACUCAGAUGGUUCACCCCAGCUGUAGAAGUUCCUCUCUGUGGCCAUGCUACGCUUGCAUCAGCAGCUGUGUUGUUUCACAUACGAAAAAACACAAAUUCAGUUCUCACAUUUGUGACGCUGAGUGGGGAAUUGAAAGCCAGACAAGUGGAAGACAAUAUUGUCCUGGACUUACCACUUUAUGUAACCCACCCACAGGUACUUCAAGAAGUAGAAGAGUUAAUAAAGGCAGCUGUUGGUGACAUGGUUGUUCAAGAUGUCCGUUUUUCUCCUGACACAAUGAACCUCUUAGUUCGUCUCAGUGAUACUUACAAAAGGUCUGUGUUGGAGGAACUGCAAGUGAACGCGCAAGGCUUUUUGUCAGCAGAAAAGACAGGAAAGGUGAAAGGAGUCAUACUCACUCUGAAGGGAGAUUCCAGUGGAAAACAUGAUUUUUACUCCAGAUAUUUUUCACCUUGGUGUGGAGUUCUGGAAGACCCUGUAACAGAUGAUUGAGGAACCAACGAGGAGGGGUGUGAUGCUCGACCUGGUACUGAUGAAUAGAGAGAGCCUGGUUGGGGUUGUGAAGGUUGGAGGCAAGCUUGGCUGCAGUGACCAUGAUGGUAGAAUUCAAGAUCCUGUGUGGAAGAAGCAGGUCACCAAGUAGGACCAAGACCCUGGAUUUCAGGCGAGCUGACUUUGGCCUUCUCAAAGAUCUACUUGGAUGGAUUUCAUGGGAUAUGAUUCUAGAAGACAGAAGUGCCCAUGAGAGCUGGUCAGUCUUCAAACACCACUUCCUCCAAGCCCAGGAUCAGUGUGUCCCAAUGUGCAAGAAAGGUGGAAAAGGAGGUAGGAGGCCUCCAUGGAUGAGCAAGGAUCUCUGGGACAACUCAGACAGAAAGCAGCCACCUAUGAGAGGUGGAAACAGGGGCUGGCUUCUUGGGAAGAGAAUAGGGACAUUACCAGGGCAUGCAGGGGUGCAACUAGGAAGGUUAAAGCCGUUCUAGAAUUAAAUUUAGCCAGGGAUGUUAAGGACAGCAAUAAGGCAUUUCUCAAGUACAUCAGCAGCAAAAGGAAGAUUAGGGGGAUUGUGGACCCGCUGCUAAACACAGAGGGUGCCCUGGUGUCUGAGGAUGCAGAGAAGGCUGAACUACUGAAUGCUUUCUUUGCUUCCGUCUUUACGGCCAAGGCUGGCCCUUGGGAAGCCCAGUCCGGCAAGGAUAACAGGAUGGCCAGGACAGCAGAGAACUUGCCAUGGGUGGAAGAGGAAGAGGUUAAAGACUUGUUGGCCAAGCUUAAGGCUCAUAAGUCAAUGGGUCCUGAUGGGAUGCAUCCUAGAGUACUGAGGGAGCUGCUGAUGUGAUUGCUAAGCCUCUCUCCAUUUUUGAACAAUCAUGGAGGACAAGCAAGGUGCCUGAGGACUGGAGAAAGGCCAAUGUCACGCCAGUCUUCAAAAAGGGCAGGAAGGACGACCCAGGAAACUACAGGCCAGUCAACCUCACCUCCAUCCCUGGAAAGGUGAUGGAACAACUCAUCCUGAAUGUUAUCACUAAACAUAUGAAGGAAAAGAUGGUUAUCAGGGGGAGUCAACAUGGCUUCACCAAGGGGCAAUCCUGUUUGAUCAACCUGAUAUCCUUCUAUGAGUGCAUAACCAUCUGGCUAGAUGAGGGGAGAGCAGUGGAUGUCAUCUACCUUGACCUCAGCAAGGCUUUUGACACUGUCUCCCACAACAUCCUCAUCAGAAAGCUCAAGCAGUGUGGCUUCAAUGAGUGGACAGUGAGGUGGAUUGAGAGCUGGCUGAAUGACAGAGCCCAGAGGGAGUCGAGUUGGAGGCCUGUGGCCAGUGGAGUUCCACAGGGAUUGGUUUUGGGGCCAAUCUUGUUCAACAUCUUCAUCAACGACCUGGAUGAGGGGACAGAGUGUACCCUCAGCAAGUUGGCUGAUGACCCCAAACUGGGAGGACUGGCUGAUUCCCCAGAGGCUGUGCUGCCAUUCAGCGGGAUCUCGACCGGCUUGAGAGUUGGGCAGAGAGGAACCUUGUGAGGUUCAACAAGGACAAGUGCAGAGUCCUGCAUCUGGGAAGGAACAACCCCAUGCACCAGUACAGGCUGGGGGUCGAACUGCUGAAGAGCAGCUCUGCAGAGAGAGACCUGGGAGUCCUGAUCGACAAUAAGCUAACAAUGAGCCAGCAAUGUGCCCUUGUGGCCAAGAAGGCCAAUGGCAUCCCUCAACUCUGCCCUGGUGAAGCCUCAUCUGGAGUCCUGUGUCCAGUUCUGGGCUCCUCAGCUCAAGAGGGACAGAGAACUUCUGGAGAGAGUCCAGUGCAGGGCCACCAAGAUAAUCAGGGGACUAGAACAUCUUUCAUACGAGGAAAGGCUGCGGCAACUGGGGCUGUUUAGUCUGGAGAAGAAGAGAUUGAGGAUCUACCCAUGCUGUUUUAGGCAGCUACUGGUCAGAGCAGCUGGGGAAGAAAGAAAUGCUUGCUUUUCAAUGUUCUCGCCGUG